AGGAGUUAAUGUUUGGAUGCAGGAAGGAGCAGUGGUUCCCUGCUACCAACCGCACACCCUCAGCAUCCGCCUCACUCCUCAAGGACAUAGAAAGAAAGGGAAAGAACAUCCUCUGCAGUCAGUGACUGUAUAAUGGACAAGACCCUGCCCAGCUGCGUGCCUUCCCAUCAGACACCCAGGCUUGGAGAGCAGGCUGGACCAGCUGUCAGCUGCCUGAUGAGGGAGAUGGAGACGAGCAAGAGAGAAAGCCUCGUCAGGAGAGGUCUGCAGUGGCUGACCAGCUGAAGGGGGAAGCUCAGGCUGUCUGUGAGUGAGUGCUCCACAUGUUUUUCUUGCCACCUUUCUCCUGAGCACAGUUCUUGUGGCGACAGGUGGUAUGGAUUCU
Molecule: long non-coding RNA, 385 nt
Organism: Mus spicilegus (steppe mouse)
Lineage: Eukaryota; Metazoa; Chordata; Mammalia; Rodentia; Muridae
Source: Ensembl